ACACAGUUGAAGGAAAAUGUUAAAAAAACAAAUUCUGGUCAUACUUGUCAUCAUGAUGUUUGAAUACAGCCUGCAGCAAGGCAACGGACUAGGUUAUGGUGGACUACCUAGCUGGCUUCGUGGAGGUGAUAAUGGUGGUUCAGGAUUCGACUUUGGUUUUGGCGGUUUUGGUCCUGGAAAUGGCGGUAA
Long non-coding RNA from Spodoptera frugiperda (fall armyworm), 189 nucleotides. RefSeq lists it as uncharacterized. The record is from RefSeq and is a predicted model, not a curated record. The transcript has 3 exons. NCBI's taxonomy places the organism in Eukaryota, Metazoa, Arthropoda, Insecta, Lepidoptera, Noctuidae.